RNAcentral lists this long non-coding RNA (264 nucleotides) under Pan troglodytes (chimpanzee). Its description in RNAcentral is "long non-coding RNA NONPTRT014490". The record is from RNAcentral. Lineage: Eukaryota; Metazoa; Chordata; Mammalia; Primates; Hominidae.
UGUGCAAAGCCUAACAGGAGAUUUCCUUCCACAUUUCCUUACAAUUCUGACCUCUCCUUUCUAAUAUCCACCAAAUCAUUUUAAAUUCCAUAAAUGUUCAAAGAAGCAUGUACCCCAAAUUAGAAACACUAUUCCAGUUUCAUUUCUCUAGCAGGCAUUUAUGGAGGCCAAAUUUUACUGUUGUGGGGCUUGGAAUUGAGAGUUAGUAAUAAGCAAUGAAACAACACCAAGCUCAAGUAAGUCCAAGGUAAGAUUUGAUCUGCA